CCGUCAUAUGACGGCAGCGGUAGUGAUAAUUUUCAAAAAAUCGUUGUGGGCGCUGUGUUGGAGCUAUGCGCACGCUGUAGGUACCAGCACAUGCGCAUUGGGCUGCUCUUUCACGUGGUAUCUUUAAUAUCUUGCCUCGAAGUACACUUCGUGCAGUACUAAGUGACCGUUUGAUAAUGGCUACAAGAUCUUCGUAGUACAACCUCAGCCAGUAGACAGUGAGAAUAACGAUGCCUUGUUGAGUAAGAGGACAGUGAAUGGGAUCAUACCAAGAGAGGAAACUACUUUUCAGAGGUCAAGCUAUAAAUAUAGAGCCUGAAGAAGCAUGAACCAAAGUCCUGGACCUACUGUAAGUAACUAUGGAGUAUCAUAAUGUAGUAAAGAAAAAUGUGUAUUUAUUCUGUGUUUUGUUUUUUUAAUUAAAGCCGGGAAAGGGUUAAUAUUGCAAAUACUAUGUACAAACACAUGUCUCAUCCACAUGUCUCAUCCACAUGCACUUCUGUUGUAGUAACAUCUCUCUUGUCAAUUUCACGUAUAAUAACUUAAAUAGACAUAAACAAUUCAUUUGAACAAAUUGUUACGCAAAUUGUUAAGCGUAACAAAAUUUUUUUUACAGUGCAAAAGGUAUAGUUGGGGGAUGUUGGCUUUUCGGCCGCCAUCUUACAGUACACUCAACACGUCAACACGGAAUGCUCAAUUUAGUUGAAUUUAAAGGGAGGGUGACACGAAAAAAUCAACUUUAUUCUAUUUGGGACCCAAAAUAAUUAUUUUAAUUAAUUUAUUGAUGAAGUUACAGAGUGAGGCAGAUUUAGCAUCCUGUCUUAACAUACUUCCUGUUGUGGUUGAAUGUGGGCGCGACUACUACAUGAUGUCAUAGAAGGAACAGUUAUUGUAGCAACUAUGAGUUCAAGCAGUGAUGACCAGUGAAUUUUCAGAACAUGGAGAAACAAUUGAGCCUGAAGAGAGUGACACACCAUGUACCAUUAGACACAAAGAUGAUGACUCUGACUCUGAAGGUGAAGAGAGACUCCUCAACAGACAUUGGUGUCAUGGAGUGUGGAAACUGUGUUAUAAUGCCAACGGGAUGGAAAGUGUCGUGGAAGAAAAUCACACUGAUAUAAGUUGCUAUGAAUGAUUCACACCGGUGUGCCUCGAUGUGUGGAUGUGUGGGUACUUCAAACAGCAUACUCUAACUACAGAUAUCAUUAUGUCGACAGCGAGAGCGAGUCCCAAAAAGAAGUACAAAACUUGGAAACUAUUGGCGUGCCCUUUCAGGAUGAACUGUUUGUCCCAACGAAACAGAGAUCCCAACGAAACAGAGACGCCAACAGCGAGCAAAACAUUUCCAAUGCAUUGGUCUAUAAAUUCAAAGAUACGUCAGCGGCAGGGGUUCUAGAAGAAGUCAGUACUGAACCUCAAAGAAAGGAGAAUUUUUCUACAACUGGCCUUCAUGCUAAUCAGUCAGUCACUUGAGUGUGUGUGUGUGUGUGUUGUGUGUGUGUGUGUGUGUAAAAGAGAGUAUUAGUAAUUAGCUGCACCGCUAAUCUCUAAUCAAACCCCACCGCAUUUUCCGACAUACACCGUAGUGGGUCCUUCUAUGUAGUGGGUCCUAUGUAGUGAACACUUUACUAUAAUUAUUAACAAUCGUAUACUUUUUUUGUGAUUCUUUUUUUGUGAUUCUUAUUUUUUGUGAUUCUUACUAGCAAGUAAAAGUUUCUGGCCACUGCAAAAUGUGUUUGCUAAUGCACAAUGCAUGAGGUUGGCCCCGAAGAACAUACCUUCAAUUAUUGCCUCCAUAUUGAGUUCGAAGAUGAAAUGGGUGUAGACCAAGGGAUUUAUUCUGUGCUAUAACUUGAUGUUUGAUGGAUCUUCAAUCCCCUAAAACGUCAUCAUGAUAGUAGGAGUCCAUAAUUUAAAAUUUGAGGAUACCAUAGACUAUUGCGUAUGCGAUCUCCCAGUGCCUGGAAUCGAGCAGUGGGUAUAGAGCAGUGGGUAUAGUAUCAAGGUCCAGACUGAAUUAAGUAGUAUUAUUAUAUAUUACACACACUACGGGUGUUAAACAGUAUCUUAACAUACUACUCUGGGUAGUUAGGCCCGGGUCUAGCCUUAAAUACCAAAUUUACACUAUGUUCAUUAUUUGCAUCAAAAUGACGCAUCAAAUGAUCGCUCAAUGUUCAAAAAACUAAUUAGUCAUGCUAAUUAGUCCCAUAAAUGGUGAUGACGUCAUGGUUUGUAAGAAGAACUAUAUACAAUAAGAAGAACUAGAAGAACUACAAAUGCGGACAUGAAGAAGCUAAGAUCAAGCUUAGGCUAGAUGAACAUCUCAUAGCUAAGUACAUGAGAGCUGGGGAAGAGUAAACAUUCUUGAGAUAGCUAGAGUGGCCAGCAUAGCUAAGGCAGUUUUGCACAUAUUAACCCUUUCCCCGUUGAAGCAAUCCCUACAUACGAACGAGGUGUGGGAUCUAGUGAAACUUCCCAAAGACAGAAAAACUGUUGGUUUAAGUGGGUUGCUAAUGGAACAAUCGAAAGACACAAGUAGGAUACUCCCAACGAUAUUACGAUGAAACAUUUUCGCCGGUAGUAAUCUCAGAGAACUGUUGUAGCACUUGCAGUACAGCAGUUGCAUCAAAUGGAUGUCCUUCUUAAAUGGAUAACUGCAAGAGGAUUCGAACUCUUGUGGACACAUUUGGUGAAAGCAAAAGAUGAGGACACUUUUGUAGAUCAAGCACGAAGUCUCUCCGCUGCCACAAGGCCUGAUAUAUUACCUAUGCUGUCGGUAAUGUGGCUAAGUUUUGUGCAAAGCCAACAAAGCAAUAUUGGAUGGCUGUAAAGCGAAUCUUUCGGUAUCUGAAAGGGACUCAGAAGUAUGGUCUCCUCUUCAAGACAAGGGGUUUCUCUGACGCUGACUGGGGUGGUGAUCGCAAGUCUACCUCUGGGUAUGUGUUCCAAAUUGGUGGAACAAAUUGGUGGAACAGCCAUAAGUUGGCUUGCGUGGCACUCUCAACCGCAGAAGCGGAGUACAUUGCCCUUGCCAGUACUGCUCAAGAAUCUGUCUGGUUGCAGCAAUUACUUGCCGAUAUAACCACCGAAGAAAAUGGUCAUCUUUGAAGACAACCAGUCUGCUAUAAGUAUAGCUCAGUUCCAUGGUACAUAUUGGAUAUUGUCGAACGAACGAUAUGCUCGCUGAUUGUAUGACCAAAGCCGUCAUAUAACGGCCACUCUAGUGGUCAUUUUCAAAAAUUCGUUGUGCCCGCUGUGUUGGAGCUAUGCACACGCUGUAGGUACCAGCACGAGCUGCUCUUUCACGUGGUAUCCUGCCUCGAGGUACGCUUUGUACAGUAAAAAGUGACCGUUUGAUAAUGUUUCGUAGUACAACCUUAGUGAGGUUCUAAAGUAUAGUGAGAAUGUGGGUGAGAGGACAUAGAUAAAAAGCUACCUCAAAGCUAGAAAAUAUAGAGCCUGAAGGCCUGAGGAAAAAGCUCUGAGGAAGAAGCUCUUGCGAUGGAACAACUUCUUGGUAAGGCUUCAGUAUAACUGUGUUUAGGCUAGUUAGUACAGCAGUGGACAUAAACAUUUCCCGGGAAAAAGGAUACGACCUCGCAGAGAUUGAACCAUGUCACUGUGAGAACACUUAUUUAGUGUCUUUAGCCACUCUGUGCCCUCAUACAGUGUACAUAGUUGUGAAUGUACAUAGUUGUGAAUAUUUGUAAACAAUUGCUAAUUAGUGGGGGUGGUCAGUUGCUAGGUAACGAAGAUGGUAUGGUUCAUGACAUGAAUUUUAAUUAUUUAUUCCCAGCUGGUUUAUUCCCAGCUGGAAACAUAAUCAUGACAACCAGAGGAGGUUGGACGCGCGUCAUCAUGACGCGCGCAGUCAUAUAACUAUUAUAGGAAUUCCUUUGAGGUCUGGUAAAGGUAAAAUUAAUGCUGAUGGUUAUACAAAUGUGAUGGUUAUGCAAAUGCAGUGCAGCUAGUGGUGACAAGACACAUGAAAGGACAUCACCCAGUAUCACAAGAGAAUGUAAAAGUUGUGAGGAAUCUUUUGAGAAUCAUACAGUUGGAUACAGUUGGCAAUCCCCAGUUUCCCAUUUCAUGUUAGUUUAUUGUAUGAUGGUUUUCUUAAAGCUGACCCUGCAGGAUGUCUACUGAAAGUUUGCUAUGGUUUUACAAACGCAUUCCUUGUCGACGAGACAGAAGACAGAAUUCAAUCAGAGUAUAGACACUGUAGUGCUAACAUUGUUUGACGAUUCAAAGGUUUUUGUAAUCCGCAAAAUCUCCAGACAAUAUUGCUUUAGAUUGCAUCAUUGAUAUACCAGAGUCCAUAAGGCCAAGCUUGUUACCUCAACCAGCAAUCCAGAGAUACAGGAAGUGGGAAGAAGUACUAGAUCAACAUUCGACUAUACCCAAUGCUGACGAGGAUAAUGAUGAGGAGGAUCUCAGGUGAACCUUUAAUUAUUGCUGAUUCAGCUAAAACGAAGCUCCGCCCACGCUUUUUACCAGCAAUUAUGCUCUAAUUCCGGAGUCCUAAACGCUCCUUGAAGCACUUACUUACUUUUUAGUGUAGUACACACAGUAAUAUUCGGAAGGAGCCGUCUGCACUACGUAGAGUAAGUUAUUAGCUUUUACAUGUAAGCUAGAAAACUAAGGAACAGCUCCUUCCGAAUAUUACUGUGUGUACUAGCUAGUAAGUGCUUCAAGGAGACUCCGGAAUUAGAGCUAAAGAUCUAAGCAGUUUGAGAUCCAUUUUUAUGCACAAUUGCUGGUAAAAAGCGUGGGUGGAGCUUUGUUUCAGCUGAAUCAGCAAUAAUUGAACGACCCAGAACGACCCAGUCCUUAAUUCACUACUAGAAACUUAUAUCGGACGAUGAAAAGCUGAUUCACUCAAUAACUGUAUAGGAACCAGUAAAGAAGAGCAGUAUAUUUAGCUCAAGUUUCGGUGUUACAAUUGAAUUCAGGAUAAAACCAGAACCGGAUAAUGUUUUUGAUUCAAAAGUCAUUGCAUGGGAUAUAAUGUGUUGGCUGAUGUGUGGAAUGAUUAGGUUUAUAACACAUUGGAGUCGUAGCAAACCCGGUUGGGUCAAGAUUUGCAAGAACGGGCCCUGGAGCUAAUGACUGACUCAAUAUAAUAAGGACAAUCAAUUUACAUAUCUAUUAUUAUUACAUAUCUAUUAUUAUAUCAGAGUGCAUGACUUUCAUUAUUAAAAAGUAAUAAUUGCAUGUACAUGUAUAUGUUCAUCGAGUGAGUUAUGAGUAUGAGUAUGAAUGUUCAGCGAUAAUUUUUUGGACUGAAGUAGCACUGGUACGGCCGGAAAAGAUGCACAUCUAGAUAGUUUAACUGAUACUAGUUCUCCUCUCGGCAAUCGAUCAGUCGAUCAGAUUUAGUUUUUGUUGAAGGUACAUUAAACUGGCUCUUCAUAGAAACGGUCAUUACCAGUGUACGGUCAUUACCAGUGUAAUAAUAAAACAGCAGUGAAUGAUCCAUUCUCUUCAUGAAUUCAGUGACGACCACUCAAAGUAUGGUCGUCAAAGUAUUCAGCAUAUAGAAUUAUUAAAUUGAAACUAACCUGUUUCAGAGUGAAAUUUAGGCCUCUUAAAAUAGCUAAAAAAGCACUCGACAUCAUCAGUUGUUGACGAUCGGGGAUUUUCGAAGGGAAUACCACUGUCAGCAUUAGCAUUAAACCACCGGUAUCGCCAUUUUCUUGUCUGCCAUUUUCUUGUCUCAAUACUGGCAACAGUGCCACGGGACAGGCCUGAAAUUAAGAAUGUAGUAUACAGUGCAACAACCAAAGAGAGUAGAUUUUUUUUUUUGUGGCAUAUCUUCUAAAGUAAAAGUGAUAUGAUCUAUUUGAGUGCAGGUACUGAAAGUUCAACUAUUGGCGCUUCCAUUGGACCACCACCUGUUACAUCACAUGACAUCAUCAGUAUAAAAUGGCUGUCUGAAGAUGUGUACUUCCGAAAAUAU
This is a long non-coding RNA of Halichondria panicea, 5959 nucleotides long. RefSeq lists it as uncharacterized. NCBI's taxonomy places the organism in Eukaryota, Metazoa, Porifera, Demospongiae, Suberitida, Halichondriidae. The transcript has 4 exons. The record is from RefSeq and is a predicted model, not a curated record.